UGAGUAACGCGUGGAUAACCUGCCUCACACAGGGGAUAACAGUUAGAAAUGACUGCUAAUACCGCAUAAGCGCACGGCAUCGCAUGAUGCAGUGUGAAAAACUCCGGUGGUGUGAGAUGGAUCCGCGUCUGAUUAGGUAGUUGGUGGGGUAACGGCCCACCAAGCCGACGAUCAGUAGCCGACCUGAGAGGGUGACCGGCCACAUUGGGACUGAGACACGGCCCAAACUCCUACGGGAGGCAGCAUG
RNAcentral lists this ribosomal RNA (247 nucleotides) under uncultured bacterium. RNAcentral describes it as "partial 16S ribosomal RNA". It matches the Rfam family "Bacterial small subunit ribosomal RNA", at positions 107 to 353 of the family's 1533-position model. The record is from RNAcentral.